This 782-nucleotide ribosomal RNA is filed under the name Tetralonioidella sp. JS-2010. RNAcentral describes it as "SSU rRNA". It matches the Rfam family "Eukaryotic small subunit ribosomal RNA", at positions 457 to 1201 of the family's 1831-position model. The record is from RNAcentral. Lineage: Eukaryota; Metazoa; Arthropoda; Insecta; Hymenoptera; Apidae.
CGGGGAGGUAGUGACGAAAAAUAACGAUACGGGACUCAUCCGAGGCCCCGUAAUCGGAAUGAGAACACAUUAAAUCCUUUAACGAGGACCAAUUGGAGGGCAAGUCUGGUGCCAGCAGCCGCGGUAAUUCCAGCUCCAAUAGCGUAUAUUAAAGUUGUUGCGGUUAAAAAGCUCGUAGUUGAAUCUGUGUGUCACAGUGUCGGUUCACCGCUCGCGGUGUUUAACUGGCAUUAUGUGGUACGUCCUACCGGCGGGCUUAGCUCCAAGUGAGCGGUCCAAUUAAUAUCCAUCGCGGUGCUCUUUACUGAGUGUCGAGGUGGGCCGGUACGUUUACUUUGAAGAAAUUAGAGUGUUCAAAGCAGGCUCAUUUGCCUGAAUACUGUGUGCAUGGAAUAAUGGAAUAGGACCUCGGUUCUAUUUUGUUGGUUUUCGGAACCCCGAGGUAAUGAUUAAGAGGGACAGAUGGGGGCAUUCGUAUUGCGACGUUAGAGGUGAAAUUCUUGGAUCGUCGCAAGACGUACAGAAGCGAAAGCAUUUGCCAAAAAUGUUUUCAUUAAUCAAGAACGAAAGUUAGAGGUUCGAAGGCGAUCAGAUACCGCCCUAGUUCUAACCAUAAACGAUGCCAGCCAGCGAUCCGCCGAAGUUCCUCCGAUGACUCGGCGGGCAGCCUCCGGGAAACCAAAGCUUUUGGGUUCCGGGGGAAGUAUGGUUGCAAAGCUGAAACUUAAAGGAAUUGACGGAAGGGCACCACCAGGAGUGGAGCCUGCGGCUUAAUUUGACUC